Long non-coding RNA from Rhipicephalus sanguineus (brown dog tick), 240 nucleotides. RefSeq lists it as uncharacterized. The transcript is spliced from 3 exons. Lineage: Eukaryota; Metazoa; Arthropoda; Arachnida; Ixodida; Ixodidae. The record is from RefSeq and is a predicted model, not a curated record.
GCGAGGCCCAGAGUUCGGGUGGUCUGAAUCGGUGAGCCCUGCUCCAGCUGCUGCUGGUGUGACUGAAGAGGAUGUGGCCCAGGAUCUUCCCCGUGCCCCAACUCCUCAUGCCGCAGCUGCGAGAUGUGGGCAACCGGCAGGCCGAGGCGCUGGAGUUACUAGCCACAAACACCAGGUGGCAGGGCCAGGCAUCAUCGGAAAGCUGCCGACUGCCAGGUUCAACUUCUCGGUGACGUGGUC